AUCCUACUGACGAGUGUUAAAUACGACGAAAUGCGUGUCUUGGAU
Molecule: non-coding RNA, 45 nt
Filed under: Schistosoma margrebowiei
Lineage: Eukaryota; Metazoa; Platyhelminthes; Trematoda; Strigeidida; Schistosomatidae
Source: RNAcentral